RNAcentral lists this ribosomal RNA (497 nucleotides) under uncultured bacterium. Its description in RNAcentral is "partial 16S ribosomal RNA". It matches the Rfam family "Bacterial small subunit ribosomal RNA", at positions 28 to 507 of the family's 1533-position model. The record is from RNAcentral.
GAUGAACGCUGGCGGCGUGCCUAAUACAUGCAAGUCGAGCGAACGGACGAGAAGCUUGCUUCUCUGAUGUUAGCGGCGGACGGGUGAGUAACACGUGGAUAACCUACCUAUAAGACUGGGAUAACUUCGGGAAACCGGAGCUAAUACCGGAUGAUAUUUUGAACCGCAUGGUUCAAAAGUGAAAGACGGUCUUGCUGUCACUUAUAGAUGGAUCCGCGCUGCAUUAGCUAGUUGGUAAGGUAACGGCUUACCAAGGCAACGAUGCAUAGCCGACCUGAGAGGGUGAUCGGCCACACUGGAACUGAGACACGGUCCAGACUCCUACGGGAGGCAGCAGUAGGGAAUCUUCCGCAAUGGGCGAAAGCCUGACGGAGCAAUGCCGCGUGAGUGAUGAAGGUCUUCGGAUCGUAAAACUCUGUUAUUAGGGAAGAACAUAUGUGUAAGUAACUGUGCACAUCUUGACGGUACCUAAUCAGAAAGCCACGGCUAACUACGUG